UAAAAUUAGGUGAAAGGACCGUAGACUGGGUCUUCACUCCAUAGAUAGGGUGAGUUUUAACCGCAAUGUCCUCAGGUAGGACAGAGCAUCUAGAAAAGUUUCUACAAACAUCAUAUCUUCAAGGAGGCAUGAUCUGAAAUACGGGUAAGCCAGGAGUUAGACAACUUUAUGACACUAGACUUUAUAGCCCAAAAAUAAAACACCAGAAAAGGAAAACAUUCCUAAAUGCCUUAUAGCCUAC
RNAcentral lists this long non-coding RNA (241 nucleotides) under Capsicum annuum. RNAcentral's name for it is "long non-coding RNA (CANN_LNC012304)". Lineage: Eukaryota; Viridiplantae; Streptophyta; Magnoliopsida; Solanales; Solanaceae. The record is from RNAcentral.